AGAGUUUGAUCAUGGCUCAGAACGAACGCUGGCGGCGUGGAUAAGACAUGCAAGUCGAGCGCUGAUUACAGGGUAGCAAUAUUCUGUGGUCGGAGCGGCGCAAGGGUGCGUAACACGUGGGUAAUCUGCCAUGAAGUUUGGGAUAACUCGCUGAAAGGCGAGCUAAUACCGGAUGUGAAAAUCGGGGGGCAUCUUCUGAUUUUCAAAGCUGGGGACCGUAAGGCCUGGCGCUUCAUGAUGAGCCCGCAGCCUAUCAGCUAGUUGGUGAGGUAACGGCUCACCAAGGCUAAGACGGGUAGCUGGUCUGAGAGGACGACCAGCCACACUGGAACUGAGACACGGUCCAGACACCUACGGGUGGCAGCAGUCGAGAAUUUUUCACAAUGGGCGCAAGCCUGAUGGAGCGACGCCGCGUGGGGGAUGAAUGGCUUCGGCCCGUAAACCCCUGUCAUUUGCGAUCAAACCUUAUUAUUUAAAAGAUGAUAAGCUGAUAGUAGCGAAAGAGGAAGGGACGGCUAACUCUGUGCCAGCAGCCGCGGUAAUACAGAGGUCCCAAGCGUUGUUCGGAUUCACUGGGCGUAAAGGGUGCGUAGGUGGUGAGGUAAGUCGGAUGUGAAAUCUCCGAGCUCAACUCGGAAAUGGCAUUGGAAACUACCUUGCUCGAGGGUUGGAGGGGGGACUGGAAUUCUCGGUGUAGCAGUGAAAUGCGUAGAUAUCGAGAGGAACACCAGUGGCGAAGGCGAGUCCCUGGACAACUCCUGACACUGAGGCACGAAAGCUAGGGGAGCAAACAGGAUUAGAUACCCUAGUAGUCC
RNAcentral lists this ribosomal RNA (815 nucleotides) under uncultured bacterium. RNAcentral describes it as "bacterial SSU rRNA". It matches the Rfam family "Bacterial small subunit ribosomal RNA", at positions 8 to 796 of the family's 1533-position model. The record is from RNAcentral.